GGGCGUGUAGCUCAGGUGGUUAGAGCNNUAAUGACGAGGUCGAUGGUUCGAGUCCAUCCACGCCCACCA
This 69-nucleotide transfer RNA is filed under the name Candidatus Uhrbacteria bacterium. RNAcentral's name for it is "tRNA-Ser". It matches the Rfam family "tRNA". From Rfam's summary of the family: Transfer RNA (tRNA) molecules are approximately 80 nucleotides in length. Their secondary structure includes four short double-helical elements and three loops (D, anti-codon, and T loops). The record is from RNAcentral. Lineage: Bacteria; Candidatus Uhriibacteriota.